UACGGAGGAUCCAAGCGUUAUCCGGAAUCAUUGGGUUUAAAGGGUCCGUAGGCGGUUUGGUAAGUCAGUGGUGAAAGCCCAUCGCUCAACGGUGGAACGGCCGUUGAUACUGCCAGACUUGAAUUAUUAGGAAGUAACUAGAAUAUGUAGUGUAGCGGUGAAAUGCUUAGAGAUUACAAUGGAAUACCAAUUGCGAAGGCAGGUUACUACUAAUGGAUUGACGCUGAUGGACGAAAGCGUGGGUAGCGAACAGG
RNAcentral lists this ribosomal RNA (254 nucleotides) under uncultured bacterium. Its description in RNAcentral is "partial 16S ribosomal RNA". It matches the Rfam family "Bacterial small subunit ribosomal RNA", at positions 524 to 776 of the family's 1533-position model. The record is from RNAcentral.